UACGUUUUUUUCUCACUUUAGUGCUUUUAUUUCAAAAAUGGCGCCGAAAAUCAAAAAUUGACUUUUUUAAAGUACAAUUUAGACAACUUGAGCUCUCAGAAAAAGUAAUACACGUAAAAAUCGAAGCAAGUUUACAAGGAAAAGACGUGUCCACAGACUAGAACGAAAGAAAGAAAGGAAAAAAGAAAAAUUUUAGUAAAACCAAUAGAAGAAAAAAAACAAUAAAUAGCAUCAUAAAACCAAUAGCUCCCUCGCUACACUCGGAAUCUAAAACAUGUCUUAGUUGUUAUAAAGUUUUAUACGCUUAUGUUACCAACCCUGACAUUUUGUACAAAUUACCAUAAUAGAAAUGUCUAUUUCUGUCAUGGAGAUUACGACGUGGGAUUUACGCGUUUUCCUUAAUUUUACAUCAAAUUUAAACCACAUAUGAAUGAUUAUAACAUGUAGUUUGAAUAGAAA
Molecule: non-coding RNA, 459 nt
Organism: Cinara cedri
Lineage: Eukaryota; Metazoa; Arthropoda; Insecta; Hemiptera; Aphididae
Source: the annotation of a GenBank genome assembly